This 439-nucleotide small RNA is filed under the name uncultured bacterium. RNAcentral describes it as "bacterial LSU rRNA". The record is from RNAcentral.
CCGGAAGGUGCGGCUGGAUCACCUCCUUUCUAAGGAGCACCUGGCGCCGUCAGGCAGCGAGUGUCUGCCUCGGCGUCCACUGCUUUCCUAGUGGAGCACUGGUUAUUCGGUCAGGGAAGGCUACCGCCGCCUGGCUAGUACGUCCCGGCAGCGCCCCUCACAGGGCGCGGCAAGGGGACGGAACGGAGGCCGCGAGAGCUGGCCUGGCCGAGCACGCUGUUGGGUCCUGAGGAAACCGGUCUGUGUAAGCACAGCCCGGGGACUUCGGCUAGGGCGAGGCCUUUCCACCGCAGAUGCGGUGGCGGGGCCUUGUGCCGUCCGUAUCUUGAGAACUGCACAGUGGACGCGAGCAUCUUCUUCAUUGAAGAUAGACAUCACGUAUGUGGUGUCCCUUGUAGUGCAUCUGCGAAGUAUUGUUGCCAAGUUUUUAAGGGCGCAC